Molecule: non-coding RNA, 27 nt
Filed under: Mus musculus (house mouse)
Lineage: Eukaryota; Metazoa; Chordata; Mammalia; Rodentia; Muridae
Source: RNAcentral
UGCUCUUUGGAAACACCCUGGAAGAAU